RNAcentral lists this long non-coding RNA (2092 nucleotides) under Malus domestica (apple). RNAcentral's name for it is "long non-coding RNA (MDOM_LNC016696)". The record is from RNAcentral. Lineage: Eukaryota; Viridiplantae; Streptophyta; Magnoliopsida; Rosales; Rosaceae.
CGCAUGGGUUAAACCUUCGAACCCCAACUAAAAUUCAGUCACCAAUCACCACGAAAACAAGUAAAGAAUGUAAAUUUGUAGGUUUGAGUUCAUAAGCCUCACCUGAGUCUCGAAAUGGGAACUCAGAGCUCUCGAGCUUGACCUCUUCGUCACUGAUCACACAUGCAAGGGUACCAGCUAAAUACCCAAAGCUUGAGGAUGUAGAAAAUGGUGGUGGUGGCUUGGUUUCGUGCAUAGAGAAGUGGAGAUGGUGAUGGUGGUUCUCGGUGACACAGAGAGAGAGAGAGAAUGAGCGAGUUCAAGAGAGGGAGAAAGUUUACAAAGAGAGAUAAUGUUUCCAGAAUGAGGAAAACAGAGGGACCGAGAGUGGGUUAAUCCCACUUCGAAAAUUUAAAUGAAAAUUACAAAAUCUAAACAGAGGUACCGAGGAUGUGGGAAUAAAAAAAAUUUCAUUACUGUCGGUUAAAACUGACAGAAAGUUUUUAAAAAAAUAUAAACCGACGGAAAAUUUUCAUUCUUGUCGGUUAAAACCGACAGUAUAAAAAAUGCCGGCAAAAUUCCCCCCAAAAUUCCCUCCCAAAAUUUUAAAUUCCCUCCCAAAAUUUUAAAUUCCCCCCAAAAUUUUGUUACUAUUUUAAAAAAUAAAAUAAUAAUUGUUUGGUUUAAUAAAUAAAUAAAAAAAUGUAUUUAAGUAGAAUAAGUUUUUAAAAAUUAAAUAAAUAAUUAUUUUUUUUCGUCGAAAAUAAAUAAUUGUUUGGUUUAAUAGAUAACUAUUAACUACAUCUUGUAAACUUUUUUUUUUGUCAUGUUCAUUGUUAAUUUGGAUAAUCCAAUUAAAAUAUUCCAAAAAAAUUGAACAUUUUGCUGUUAUUUACUAAUUGUGUGUAUCUUGUAAACGUUUUUUAUAUUUUGCCAUGUUCUUUGUUAAAUUGGAUAUCUUUUGUUAAUUAUUUAUAUAUUCGUUUAUUGAAAAUGAGAGUGUGAUUGAUUAUUAUUUUUAUUUAUUUUGAGUGUGAGAUUGAUUAUAAACAUACAUACUAUUUUGUUUUGUCUAAUAUAUAUAUACUGAUAUACUACAAAAUGUAUAAUAAUUCUACAUAAAAUAUUUACCAAAUAUUAUUGAAUUGCAUAUACAGAAGCACAAAGAUUGAUGUACAAAUGUCCGAAACUUAGAAAUUUUAAAUUAUGAUGAUGAUCUGAAAAUUUCAAAAAAAAAAAUUGUUUGGAAAUCACCCUACUGUUCCCAUACAACAACAACAAAAUGAAAUAUUAUCUUACUAAAAUUAAUCAAUUAUAUAAAUAAUAGAAUGCCACACAAUUUUGCUACACUCCUCAAUUUUGAUGUGAUACACAUUGUACGAAACGUUUUUCAAUGAUCUAACCGUCAAACUUGUUUGUACACACUCCGAGAUCACUUACGUAAAAAAUCACAAAAAAUAAACGUUCAGAGAUUAGGUAACGGAACAAAAGUUUUCGACGGUUAUAAACGAAAAAUCACAAUUUAACGGUUAUUUUAACUCCGGUUUUGAUGAUUUUUUUUUUCAGCUACACUCCUCGACCCUAUAAGAAUGUAAUGAACGAAUUUGAUCUUCAAUUUAAAAUAUUUACACUAGUUGAUACCACAAAAUCUUAUUUUAUACUUAAUAGAAGUAUAAUAUUAACUCUAAGUGUUGGUUUAAUCUACCGUUUUGAUGUGAUACGCAUUCUAUGAAACGUUUUUCAACAAUCCAACCGUCAAACUUGUUUGUACACACUCCAAGAUCACAUACGUAAAAAAUCGUAAAAAACAAACAUUCAGAGAUUAGGUAACGGAACAAAAGUUUUUUAUGGUUAUAAACGAAAAAUCACAAUUUAACGAUUAUUUUUGCUCCGAUUUUGAUGAUUUUUUUGCAGCUACACUUCUCGAUCCUAUAAGAAUGCAAUGAAUGAAUUCGAUCUUCAAUUUAAAAUAUUUACACUAGUGGAUAAAUCAUAUUUUAAACUUAAUGGAAGUAUAACAUUAACUCUUAAGUGUUUGUUAAAUCUAUCAAUUUGAUAGGAUAUGCAUUCUAUGAAACUAGUUUCAACGAUCCAACCGUCAAAUAUAUUUGUA